This 497-nucleotide ribosomal RNA is filed under the name uncultured bacterium. RNAcentral describes it as "partial 16S ribosomal RNA". It matches the Rfam family "Bacterial small subunit ribosomal RNA", at positions 28 to 507 of the family's 1533-position model. The record is from RNAcentral.
GAUGAACGCUGGCGGCGUGCCUAAUACAUGCAAGUCGAGCGAACAGACGAGGAGCUUGCUCCUCUGACGUUAGCGGCGGACGGGUGAGUAACACGUGGAUAACCUACCUAUAAGACUGGGAUAACUUCGGGAAACCGGAGCUAAUACCGGAUAAUAUAUUGAACCGCAUGGUUCAAUAGUGAAAUACGGUUUUGCUGUCACUUAUAGAUGGAUCCGCGCCGCAUUAGCUAGUUGGUAAGGUAACGGCGUACCAAGGGUACGAUGCGUAGCCGACGUGCGAGGCGGAUAGGCCACAUUGGAACGGAACCACGGUCCAGACUCCUACGGGAGGCAGCAGUAGGGAAUCGUCCGCAAAGGGCGAAAGCCUGACGGAGCAACGGCGCGUGAGAGAUGAAGGUCCUCGGAUCGUAAAAAUCUGUUAUUAGGGAAGAACAAAUGUGGAAGUAACUAUGCACGUAUUGACGGUAACUAAUCAGAAAGCAACGGCUAACUACGUG